UGGGGAAUUUUGGACAAUGGGGGAAACCCUGAUCCAGCCAUCCCGCGUGUGCGAUGAAGGCCUUCGGGUUGUAAAGCACUUUUGGCAGGAAAGAAACGUCGCGGGUUAAUACCCCGCGAAACUGACGGUACCUGCAGAAUAAGCACCGGCUAACUACGUGCCAGCAGCCGCGGUAAUACGUAGGGUGCAAGCGUUAAUCGGAAUUACUGGGCGUAAAGCGUGCGCAGGCGGUUCGGAAAGAAAGAUGUGAAAUCCCAGAGCUUAACUUUGGAACUGCAUUUUUAACUACCGGGCUAGAGUGUGUCAGAGGGAGGUGGAAUUCCGCGUGUAGCAGUGAAAUGCGUAGAUAUGCGGAGGAACACCGAUGGCGAAGGCAGCCUCCUGGGAUAACACUGACGCUCAUGCACGAAAGCGUGGGGAGCAAACAGGAUUAGAUACCCUGGUAGUCCACGCCCUAAAACGAUGUCAACUAGCUGUUGGGGCCUUCGGGCCUUGGUAGCGCAGCUAACGCGUGAAGUUGA
This 521-nucleotide ribosomal RNA is filed under the name uncultured bacterium. Its description in RNAcentral is "partial 16S ribosomal RNA". It matches the Rfam family "Bacterial small subunit ribosomal RNA", at positions 355 to 868 of the family's 1533-position model. The record is from RNAcentral.